This 258-nucleotide ribosomal RNA is filed under the name uncultured bacterium. Its description in RNAcentral is "partial 16S ribosomal RNA". It matches the Rfam family "Bacterial small subunit ribosomal RNA", at positions 524 to 776 of the family's 1533-position model. The record is from RNAcentral.
UACAGAGGGUGCGAGCGUUGUCCGGAAUCACUGGGCGUAAAGGGCGCGUAGGUGGUGGCUUAAGCGGUGCGGUGAAAGCUCGGGGCUCAACCCCGAGCGGCCGUGCGAACUGGGCUCACUGGAGCAUAGUAGAGGCAGGUGGAAUUCCGGGUGUAGCGGUGGAAUGCGAGAGAUCCGGAAGAACACCGGUGGGCGAAGGCGGCCUGCUGGGCAGUUUAGCUGACACUGAGGGCGCGGACAGCGUGGGGAGCAAACAGG